CCUACGGGUGGCAGCAGUGAGGAAUAUUGGUCAAUGGGCGGAAGCCUGAACCAGCCAAGUAGCGUGCAGGAUGACGGCCCUACGGGUUGUAAACUUCUUUUAUACGGGAAUAACGCGCCUUACGUGUAGUGCUUUGCAUGUACCUUAUGAAUAAGGACCGGCUAAUUCCGUGCCAGCAGCCGCGGUAAUACGGAGGGUCCGGGCGUUAUCCGGAUUUAUUGGGUUUAAAGGGAGCGUAGGCGGCCUGUCAAGCGUGUUGUGAAAGUUCCGGGCUCAACCGGGGCAUUGCAGCGGGUACUGGCGUGCUUGAGUCCGCGGAAGGCAGGCGGAAUUCGUCGUGUAGCGGUGAAAUGCUUAGAUAUGACGAAGAACUCCGAUUGCGAAGGCAGCUUGCUGCAGCGGAACUGACGCUGAUGCUCGAAAGCGCGGGUAUCGAACAGGAUUAGAUACCCGUGUAGUC
Molecule: ribosomal RNA, 460 nt
Filed under: uncultured bacterium
Lineage: Bacteria
Description: partial 16S ribosomal RNA
Rfam family: Bacterial small subunit ribosomal RNA
Source: RNAcentral